RNAcentral lists this transfer RNA (72 nucleotides) under Ovis aries (sheep). It matches the Rfam family "tRNA". From Rfam's summary of the family: Transfer RNA (tRNA) molecules are approximately 80 nucleotides in length. Their secondary structure includes four short double-helical elements and three loops (D, anti-codon, and T loops). Lineage: Eukaryota; Metazoa; Chordata; Mammalia; Artiodactyla; Bovidae. The record is from Rfam by way of RNAcentral.
UCCCUGAUAGCUUAGUUGGUAAAGAAUCUGCCUGCAAGGCAGGAGACCCCGGUUUGAUUCCUGGGCUGGGAA